UACAGAGGUCUCAAGCGUUGUUCGGAUUCAUUGGGCGUAAAGGGUGCGUAGGCGGCGCGGUAAGUCGGGUGUGAAAUCUCGGAGCUUAACUCCGAAACUGCAUUCGAUACUGCCGUGCUUGAGCACUGGAGAGGAGACUGGAAUUUACGGUGUAGCGGUGAAAUGCGUAGAUAUCGUAAGGAAGACCAGUGGCGAAGGCGGGUCUCUGGACAGUUCCUGACGCUGAGGCACGAAGGCCAGGGGAGCAAACGGG
This 253-nucleotide ribosomal RNA is filed under the name uncultured bacterium. RNAcentral describes it as "partial 16S ribosomal RNA". It matches the Rfam family "Bacterial small subunit ribosomal RNA", at positions 524 to 776 of the family's 1533-position model. The record is from RNAcentral.